Molecule: ribosomal RNA, 406 nt
Filed under: uncultured bacterium
Lineage: Bacteria
Description: partial 16S ribosomal RNA
Rfam family: Bacterial small subunit ribosomal RNA
Source: RNAcentral
AUUGAACGCUGGCGGCAGGCUUAACACAUGCAACUCCAGCGAGCGGCGCACGGGGGAGUAAUGUCUGGGAAACUGCCUGAUGGAGGGGGAUAACUACUGGAAACGGUAGCAAAUACCGCAUACCAUCAGAUGUGCCCAGAUGGGAUUAGCUAGUAGGUGGGGUAAUGGCUCACCUAGGCGACGAUCCCUAGCUGGUCUGAGAGGAUGACCAGCAACACUGGAACUGAGACACGGUCCAGACUCCUACGGGAGGCAGCAGUGGGGAAUAUUGCACAAUGGGCGCAAGCCUGAUGCAGCCAUGCCGCGUGUGUGAAGAAGGCCAUCGGAUUGUAAAGCACUUUCAGCGAGGAGGCGUUACUCGCAGAAGAAGCACCGGAUAACUCCGUGCCAGCAGCCGCGGUAAUUC